This 240-nucleotide ribosomal RNA is filed under the name uncultured Lactobacillus sp. RNAcentral describes it as "partial 16S ribosomal RNA". It matches the Rfam family "Bacterial small subunit ribosomal RNA", at positions 122 to 355 of the family's 1533-position model. Lineage: Bacteria; Bacillati; Bacillota; Bacilli; Lactobacillales; Lactobacillaceae. The record is from RNAcentral.
UAACCUGCCCAAGAGAUCGGGAUAACACCUGGAAACAGAUGCUAAUACCGGAUAACAACAGAUGAUGCCUAUCAACUGUUUAAAAGAUGGUUCUGCUAUCACUCUCGGAUGGACCUGCGGUGCAUUAGCUAGUUGGUAGGGUAACGGCCUACCAAGGCGAUGAUGCAUAGCCGAGUUGAGAGACUGAUCGGCCACAUUGGGACUGAGACACGGCCCAAACUCCUACGGGAGGCAGCAGCC